AUUGAACGCUGGCGGCAGGCCUAACACAUGCAAGUCGAGCGGAUGAAGGGAGCUUGCUCCUGGAUUCAGCGGCGGACGGGUGAGUAAUGCCUAGGAAUCUGCCUGGUAGUGGGGGAUAACGUCCGGAAACGGGCGCUAAUACCGCAUACGUCCUGAGGGAGAAAGUGGGGGAUCUUCGGACCUCACGCUAUCAGAUGAGCCUAGGUCGGAUUAGCUAGUUGGUGGGGUAAAGGCCUACCAAGGCGACGAUCCGUAACUGGUCUGAGAGGAUGAUCAGUCACACUGGAACUGAGACACGGCCCAGACUCCUACGGGAGGCAGCAGUGGGGAAUAUUGGAAAAUGGGCGAAAGCCUGAUCCAGCCAUGCCGCGUGUGUGAAGAAGGUCUUCGGAUUGUAAAGCACUUUAAGUUGGGAGGAAGGGCAGUAAGUUAAUACCUUGCUGUUUUGACGUUACCAACAGAAUAAGCACCGGCUAACUUCGUG
This 484-nucleotide ribosomal RNA is filed under the name uncultured bacterium. RNAcentral's name for it is "partial 16S ribosomal RNA". It matches the Rfam family "Bacterial small subunit ribosomal RNA", at positions 30 to 507 of the family's 1533-position model. The record is from RNAcentral.